RNAcentral lists this ribosomal RNA (431 nucleotides) under uncultured bacterium. RNAcentral's name for it is "partial 16S ribosomal RNA". It matches the Rfam family "Bacterial small subunit ribosomal RNA", at positions 29 to 505 of the family's 1533-position model. The record is from RNAcentral.
AGCGAACGCUGGCGGCAGGCUUAACACAUGCAAGUCGAGCGGGCCUUUCGGGGUCAGCGGCGGACGGGUGAGUAACGCGUGGGAACGUGCCCUCUGGUUCGGAAUAACUCAGGGAAACUUGAGCUAAUACCGGAUACGCCCUUUUGGGGAAAGGCUUGCUGCCGGAGGAUCGGCCCGCGUCUGAUUAGCUAGUUGGUGAGGUAACGGCUCACCAAGGCGACGAUCAGUAGCUGGUCUGAGAGGAUGAUCAGCCACACUGGGACUGAGACACGGCCCAGACUCCUACGGGAGGCAGCAGUGGGGAAUAUUGGACAAUGGGCGCAAGCCUGAUCCAGCCAUGCCGCGUGAGUGAUGAAGGCCUUAGGGUUGUAAAGCUCUUUUAUCCGGGACGAUAAUGACGGUACCGGAGGAAUAAGCCCCGGCUAACUUCG